This is a long non-coding RNA of Homo sapiens (human), 1362 nucleotides long. NCBI's taxonomy places the organism in Eukaryota, Metazoa, Chordata, Mammalia, Primates, Hominidae. The record is from Ensembl.
CUCCUUCAAAGGCACACAAGGUGGGACUGUCCAGUUACAGGGAACACACUUCAGAGUUUCUACCAAUUCUACAUUAUGGUCCCAGCUUCAAAUCAAUGCAGCCUCUAUUGCUUCCUGAUGCUUGAUAACAUCACUUAUGUUGCCCAGGAAGAGCUUUGAGUUACUGAUGACUCUCAUUCCAUGUCGCUAUGUGUUCAUUCACUCUGCAAUGAUUUACUGAAUGCCUUCUAUGUACCAAGCACUCUGCCAGGUGCUUGGGUACAAAAGGUUGCCACAUAACUUGGCUCAUAGCUUCUUCCUCUAUCUUCAAAGCCAGUGCUGGCUGAUUGCAUCUCCCGCUGGCCACCAACAGAAAAAGUUCUCCAAUUUUGAGGACUUCCGUGAUUUUAUUGGGCCCACCCAGAUAAUUCAGGGUCCUCUCUCCCGCUCGAGGUUCUUAAUAAAACCACAUCUGCAAAUUCUCUUUUCCAGGAAAGCUCUGUAGACAACGAUUGUAACAGAACUGAGAAAGUGAAACCAAAAAGUGGAAAUACAACUCUAGUGCCCUGAGGAAGAUGGUGAAUGAGUUAAGCAUUAAUAUUACAGGAAAGAAGACUGGAUCCAGACCCAAGAGAGGGUUCUUGUAUCUCAGGCAAGAAAGAAUUCUGGGCAAGUUCACAGAGGAAAAUGAAAGCACAUUUAUUAAGAAAGUAAAGCAAUAAAACAAAAACAAUGGCUACUCCACAGACACAGCAGCUCUGAGGCUGCUGGAUGGCUACUUUCAAGUAUGAGUUUUCUUGUUUCAAGACAGCUUUCCUUCUCAUGCUCCUUUGAUCCUGUGGUUCUGCAAUCUUCAGCAUUCAGAUCAAGGUGGCUGUAUUCAUUUUCAAGCCAGAGAAUGGAAGGAAUAAGAAGUAUGGCACAUGAAUGUUAUUAUGAUCCAGCUGUGGAAGUAACAUCACUUUCAUUCACAUUCUAUUGGCACUCGGUCACAUGACUACAUUUAACCACAAGACAGGUUGGAAAGUAUGUACUAUCUGUGCGCCCAGGAAAACAGAAAAGCAUUGGUGCAGUGUUUGGAAGUUGAGAGGAAAAAUCACAGAUGUACCAAAAACCACCAUAUGCCCAAGGUCAAUAACAAACUGGAAUCAGCAUUAAUCAUCAGAGGAUCUUCAGAAAUUUUGAUUAACAUCAGUAGAAGGGAUAGAAAGGUUGAUGGCAGCACAAGGCUUUGGAACGAGACUAUCUAAGUUCAAAUCUGGACCCCACCACUCUCAAGAUCCCUCACUCUUUACUACUUAUGCAAAUUGAGGAAGUUAUUUAAUGUCUGCUUGUGAGCAGGUUUCUUUAAUCUCUAAAAUGAAUCUUAUAACAAAUGGACCU